CUGUGGUUGUAGUGGGAGCAGCUGUGGUUGUAGUGGGAGGUGCUGUGGUUGUAGUGGGAGCCGCUGUGGUUGUAGUGGGAGCCACUGUGGUUGUAGUGGGAGCAGCAGUGGUUGUAGUUGUAGCCGCUGUGGUUGUAGUGGGAGGUGCUGUGGUUGUAGUGGGAGCCGCUGUGGUUGUAGUGGGAGCGGCUGUGGUUGUAGUGGGAGCCGCUGUGGUUGUAGUGGGAGCCGCUGUGGUUGUAGUGGUAUCCGCUGUGGUUUUAGUGGGAGCCGCUGUGGUUGUAGAGUGGGAGCGCGCAUUGGUUGUAGUGGGAGCUGCUGUGGUUGUAGUGUGAGCCGCUGUGCUUGUAGUGGGAGGUGCUGUGGUUGUAGUGGGAGCAGAUGUGGUUGUAGUGGGAGCCGCUGUGGUUGUAGUGGGAGCCGCUGUGGUUGUAGUGGGAGCUGCUGUGGCUGUAGUGGGAGCUGCAGUGGUUGUAGUGGGAGCCGCUGUGGUUGAAUUGGGAGCCGCUGUGGUUGUUGUGGGAGACGCUGUGGUUGUAGUGGGAGCCGCUGUGGUUGUAGUGGGGGCCGCUGUGGUUGUAGUGGGAGUUGCUGUGGUUGUAGUGGGAGCUGCUGUCAUUGCUAUAACAUCAGCUGUGGUUGUUGUGGAAGCAGCUGGGGUUGUUGUGGGAGCCGCUGUGGUUGUAAUGGGAGCCGCUGUGGCUGUUGUGGGAGCAGCUGUGGUUGUAGUGGGAGCCACUGUGGCUGUAGUGGAAGCCGCUGUGGUUGUAGUGGGAGCCGCUGUGGUUGUAGUGGGAGAUGCUGUGGUCGUAGUAGGAGCUGCUGUGGUUGUAGUGGGAGUUGCUGUGGUCGUAGUGGGAGCUGCUGUCGUUGUUAUAACAUCAGCUGUGGUUGUUGUGGAAGCAGCUGUGGUUGUCUUGGGAGCCGCUGUGGUUGUAGUGGGAGUUGCUGUGGUUGUAGUGGGAGCUGCU
This is a long non-coding RNA of Oncorhynchus tshawytscha (Chinook salmon), 971 nucleotides long. Lineage: Eukaryota; Metazoa; Chordata; Actinopteri; Salmoniformes; Salmonidae. The record is from Ensembl.